Myotis brandtii (Brandt's bat) is the source of this 126-nucleotide non-coding RNA. The record is from Rfam. NCBI's taxonomy places the organism in Eukaryota, Metazoa, Chordata, Mammalia, Chiroptera, Vespertilionidae.
UGUGCACCGGUGGGGUCCCUCAGCCUGGCCUGUGCUUUCUUGCAAUCCGGGACCCCUUGGGGGAUGUCAGAAAGCUGGUUUUGGCCUGAUCCCGCAGGCCAGGCUGAGGGACCCCACUGGUGCAAG